GUGUCAGCAGCCGCGGUAAUACGGAGGGUGCGAGCGUUGUCCGGAAUCAUUGGGUGUAAAGGGUGCGUAGGCGGGCUGCUAAGUCUGGGGUGAAAUCCUGCCGCUUAACGGUAGAAUGGCCCCCGAUACUGGCAGUCUUGAGUACAGAAGAGGUCGGUGGAAUUCGUAGUGUAGCGGUGAAAUGCAUAGAUAUUACGAAGAACACCAGUGGCGAAGGCGGCCGGCUGGUCUGUAACUGACGCUGAGGCACGAAAGCGUGGGGAGCGAACAGGAUUAGAUACCCUGGUAGUCCACGCUGUAAACGAUGUAUGCUAGGUGUCGGCCUUUCGGGGUCGGUGCUGCAGUUAACGCAGUAAGCAUACCACCUGGGGAGUACGUCGGCAACGAUGAAACUUAAAUGAAUUGGCGGGG
RNAcentral lists this ribosomal RNA (411 nucleotides) under uncultured prokaryote. RNAcentral describes it as "bacterial SSU rRNA". It matches the Rfam family "Bacterial small subunit ribosomal RNA", at positions 505 to 918 of the family's 1533-position model. The record is from RNAcentral.